RNAcentral lists this transfer RNA (74 nucleotides) under Venenivibrio stagnispumantis. It matches the Rfam family "tRNA". Rfam says of the family: Transfer RNA (tRNA) molecules are approximately 80 nucleotides in length. Their secondary structure includes four short double-helical elements and three loops (D, anti-codon, and T loops). Further hydrogen bonds mediate the characteristic L-shaped molecular structure. tRNAs have two regions of fundamental functional importance: the anti-codon, which is responsible for specific mRNA codon recognition, and the 3' end, to which the tRNAs corresponding amino acid is attached (by aminoacyl-tRNA synthetases). tRNAs cope with the degeneracy of the genetic code in two manners: having more than one tRNA (with a specific anti-codon) for a particular amino acid; and 'wobble' base-pairing, i.e. permitting non-standard base-pairing at the 3rd anti-codon position. Lineage: Bacteria; Pseudomonadati; Aquificota; Aquificia; Aquificales; Hydrogenothermaceae. The record is from Rfam by way of RNAcentral.
CGCGGGGUGGAGCAGCUUGGUAGCUCGCUGGGCUCAUAACCCAGAGGUCGCAGGUUCAAAUCCUGCCCCCGCAA